This is a non-coding RNA of Lepisosteus oculatus (spotted gar), 1673 nucleotides long. NCBI's taxonomy places the organism in Eukaryota, Metazoa, Chordata, Actinopteri, Semionotiformes, Lepisosteidae. The record is from RefSeq and is a predicted model, not a curated record.
ACCGGUUAAAUUUUUGCUUGUUUUCUGAUUGUGACUGAGAGAUAUCUUUGUUCAUGAAGCAACAUGACCGAAUAUUGCAUGAUAAUGGAGAAAAUGCGUGAGUGAGACUGGGUGUCAGCUGAGAGGUGCGUUUGAAGUGGAGUGUAAAUUGCAUAAAUGUGUGUCAAGGGUGCAUUUUGAUACCCAUCUGAGACAAACAGGCUCAUCAUUUACGUGAUACAGAAAGGUGUUUGAUUUUUUUUCUUGUCUCAUAAUUCGCUUUCUCAUGCUGUCUUACCAAUGUGUACUUCUCUAGCUUUACUUUUCUCUUGCAUUUCUGUGUUUAUGUAUGCUGCGUGCACAUUUUUUUUCCCCCACUUGACACAUGUUAAACGACACAACAUUAAGCCAAAAGGGUGACAACCACGAAUAAGUGUCAGAUUCAAUCAAUUUCCCUUGGAGCGAGAAGAAAAAUAGAAGGUGAAGUUGGACCCCCAUGAACUUUUUGGAACAUAAAUCUAAAAUGAAAUUUGCGGUAUAUUUAAAAAAAAAAUCAAAUCGACCAGAUCCUGCAGAGUAAAGCCAAUGGCUGGACCAUGUCUGAGCUGGCCUCCACAAGAAGACAAUGAACCUUCCAGAAAUCCUGUUUUCCUGAAGAGUGCUUUGAUACACUGGAGCCUAUUCCAGGAGCACAGGGCAUGAGGUGUAACUGGGAGCACACAGCAGCUCCCAAAUUUCACAAUUUGCAAAAUUCACUAAAGCAGGGUUUAUUGAUUGUUUACGAGGAAGAUGAUACAGUGCUUAAAGGUAACUCAUUCUGCAAAUACAUCAUACUAUUAUUACAUAACAAAAUAAUAUAAAUAAAGAGGCUUUCUUUUUUUGAUACAUUAAGUCCUGUUGCAAUCAAAUGUUCCUCAAUGGACACUUUUGUUUGACAAAGAAAUCGUUUUCUGCCCUGGCCGUGUUUGAGCAUGUUUUUAGAAAAAAUCUCUAACCUGCUUUUAAAAGCUAUUAUUUAUAUUUUAAAUUCAAGAGAAAGGGAAAAAUAAACUCUCCAAAAGCUCUCUAAUGGGACUUUUUACAACCAGAAUUCUGCAGGAACUUUUGGCCAAGGUGAAUGCAAAUAAAGGAAAGCUACAUUUCUCAUUUACUGGUAACAGGGAGUAGUUCAAAAGUAUUUUUGUUUCUCAUUUCUUUACCAGACCUCUGAGGUCUGGAAGGCUGCUCAGACACUUUAGGCAUGUAUCAUUUUUUGAAAUUAUAAUAAACGUGUUAAAGAUUAAUAUUUAUAAAAGAUAGAAUAUCGCUGAAAAUGUUGGAUUCUUUUUAAUUAGUUUGAAUUAUUAAUGAUCAUUCCCCCAAAAAUGAUAAUAAUUACCAUUAUUAAAGGGCACACAGGAGAGAGCAAUGGGAAACAGGAGAAUUUAUACUGUAGACAGUAGCUUUAGCAGUGUAUUCUUUUUAUUUUAGUUUAAUUAUUAUUUACAAACUUUUACCAUAUGGUACCCGGGAGCUCAUUUCCAAAGCAACACAUGGAUUUGGGAGAGGAUUCUCAGACAGGAAGUUGUUCGGCAAAUAGUGACCUGCUAACCUUAUGGAGCCAGACAGAUCCUUUACCUGCCGAAUGAAAUGAAAUUCCUGUCAAUAGCAGGAGUACAGGGUUGCAGGGAGCCUAUCCUGGCAAGCAACAACUG